AUACGUAGGGUGCAAGCGUUAAUCGGAAUUACUGGGCGUAAAGCGUGCGCAGGCGGUUUUGGAAGACAGAGGUGAAAUCCCCGGGCUCAACCUGGGAACUGCCUUUGUGACUGCAAGGCUAGAGUACGGCAGAGGGGGAUGGAAUUCCGCGUGUAGCAGUGAAAUGCGUAGAUAUGCGGAGGAACACCGAUGGCGAAGGCAAUCCCCUGGGCCUGUACUGACGCUCAUGCACGAAAGCGUGGGGAGCAAACAGGAUUAGAUACCCUGGUAGUCCACGCCCUAAACGAUGUCAACUGGUUGUUGGGUCUUCAUUGACUCAGUAACGAAGCUAACGCGUGAAGUUGACCGCCUGGGGAGUACGGCCGCAAGGUUAAAACUCAAAUGAAUUGACGGG
This 394-nucleotide ribosomal RNA is filed under the name uncultured bacterium. Its description in RNAcentral is "partial 16S ribosomal RNA". It matches the Rfam family "Bacterial small subunit ribosomal RNA", at positions 523 to 917 of the family's 1533-position model. The record is from RNAcentral.